AGCAGCCGCGGUAAUUCCAGCUCCAAUAGCGUAUAUUAAAGUUGUUGCAGUUAAAAAGCUCGUAGUUGAACCUCGGGGUCUACCCAUUGGUCAGGCUUAAUUGUCUGCACUGGUGAGAUGGAUCUCUACCUUCUGAGGAACUUUCAUGCCAUUUAUUUGGUGUGAUGGGAAAUCAGGACUGUUACUUUGAAAAAAUUAGAGUGUUUAAAGCAGACUAUCGUCUGAAUACAUUAGCAUGGAAUAAUGAAAUAGGACGGACUGAUUCUAUUCGUUGGUUUCUAGGAUCACCGUAAUGAUUAAUAGGGAUAGUUGGGGGCAUUAGUAUUCAAUUGUCUAGAGGUGAAAUUCUUGGAUUUAUUGAAGACUAACUACUGCGAAAGCAUUUGCCAAGGAUGUUUUCAUUAAUCAAGAACGAAAUUAGGGGAUCGAAGACGAUCAGAUACCGUCGUAGUCUUAACCAUAAACUAUGCCGACUAGGAGUCGGACGAAGUUAAUUUUAUAAAUG
RNAcentral lists this ribosomal RNA (505 nucleotides) under uncultured Diversispora. Its description in RNAcentral is "SSU rRNA". It matches the Rfam family "Eukaryotic small subunit ribosomal RNA", at positions 569 to 1077 of the family's 1831-position model. The record is from RNAcentral. Lineage: Eukaryota; Fungi; Glomeromycota; Glomeromycetes; Diversisporales; Diversisporaceae.